RNAcentral lists this long non-coding RNA (704 nucleotides) under Daphnia magna. RNAcentral's name for it is "uncharacterized LOC116935643, transcript variant X2". Lineage: Eukaryota; Metazoa; Arthropoda; Branchiopoda; Diplostraca; Daphniidae. The record is from RNAcentral.
GAUUCUGCAUUUGGAAGAACUCAGCUGCUCCAACAACUUCGAUAGUUCUUUAGGAGAGAAAUGUGGUACGAAGCAUUACCUAGUUUGUUUUUGACCGGUUUCUUUGUAUGCCUCCCAUAUGGCCUUGUUCCGGUUAUUCAUAAAAUCUUCCAAAAUGGGAAUGCUUCAAAAUAAAACCCAUGAUAGGUUUUUCUAUAGAAGGGAUACUCGUUUGACUGGUAACCCUUAUGUGCUGAAGGGUUUGGAAUCUAUCCCUGAUUAGACAAACAGAUUCAGGUCUCAGUGUUACCAUAGAGGAUUUGAUGAAAUAAAUGUAUUAGUGGGAAAGAAGAAUCAAUUUGUCAUUAGUGAUUGUAUGUCGAACCUGGUUAUCUACCAAAAGCUUUGAAUCAGUCUUACCUAUUUCUCCUCUGAGCUAACUUGUUUGGUUUCUCAGAUGAUAUGAAACUUUAUUACUUCAAGUUCCCUUUUGGAUUGUGUACAUGGUACAAAUUUGCUCUUUAGGUAAAUAUCAAUUCAAAGAAAUUGCUUUGAAUUGAUAAGUUCCACAUCAUGAAAAUCAUCAGAAUGGAGCAAACAGUGCUAAUUUGAUCUUUUAUUUGAUUUGUGUGUCGAUGAGAUUUGUGGCAGCACUUUUGUCAGUAUCAUUUGAACACAGAACAUUUUAUGCCCUGAAUUUACAUAGAAACAGAAGUGGAAACAGA